RNAcentral lists this ribosomal RNA (406 nucleotides) under uncultured bacterium. RNAcentral describes it as "partial 16S ribosomal RNA". It matches the Rfam family "Bacterial small subunit ribosomal RNA", at positions 30 to 526 of the family's 1533-position model. The record is from RNAcentral.
AUUGAACGCUGGCGGCAGGCCUAACACAUGCAAGUCGAACGAGUGGCGGACGGGUGAGUAAUGUCUGGGCAACUGCCUGAUGGAGGGGUAUAACUACUGGAAACGGUAGCUACUACCGCAUACCCUCGGAUGUGCCCAGAUGGGAUUAGCUAGUGGGUGGGGUAAAGGCUCACCUAGGCGACGAUCCCUAGCUGGUCUGAGAGGAUGAGCGGCCACACGGGAACUGAGACACGGCCCAGACUCCUACGGGAGGCAGCAGUGGGGAAUAUCGGACAAUGGGCGCAAGCCUGAUGCAGCAAUGCCGGGGGUAUGAAGAAGGCUUUCGGGUUGUAAAUUACUUUCUGCGGGGAGGCGUUAUCUGAAGAGAAAGCACCGGCUAACUCCGUGCCAGCCGCCGCGGUAAUUC